CAUUGACAGCGAACUUCUGCCCUCCGGGGGUUCCUCCAUUUGUGCUCCCUUCGCUCAGACAUGGUGAACGGGUAUUGGUAACGCGGGCGUUACCGCUACAAGAGAGGAUCCCUCGGCAUAGAGCCGGAUGGGGGCACCCAGAUAGUGUUCCUCUGCUGUUAUCACUGGUCCCGAACCCCAAUUCGUCAUUAUUUCCAAGGGAACCGAGGAAGCCCGAGAUUUAGACUCACUUUCACGGGUCCCUGUGUUGACAAGACCAGCACUGGGGGAAUACGGAAGGAUGCUGGCUUGUUUGUCCAGGCAAGCUGACCGAGCAGUUCACCAGACAUCUGCAAACACAGGCCGGAAUUCCAGCUUUGCACUAAGACUCAGCAUGAACAAAGCCCAAGUUUCAUUUCUUGGACUGUAGGAGUGCUACAAUUCAUCCUUUAAGUGGCCAUUCAUUUUUAUGUUCAGUAAGCACUUUCACUGCAAAGUGAGACGUCCUUUAAAUGACAUAUGGUGAGUAGUGAAGUGAUUCUGGACAUGGCUUGGAUGCCACAGUCUCACUUGUCAAAAUGACUUUCUGGGUGGAACAUCUUAGACACAGAAUUAGAUGUGUAGGGCUACAGGUGUGUGUGUGUGUGUGUGUGUGUGUGUGUGUGUGUGUGUGUGUGUGUUUGCAUUUCUUCCCUAUUCUUUAUAAGAUUUCCUGACCUAAGCCACAGAUGUCAACCUCACCACCUACAUGGCAGCUACUGGGAGCUCUGGUAUUCUCACAGUGGGGAUUUAGAGCUAUGAAAUCCUGGGAGUCACUGCUUUGGGCUUAUGCUUUUCUGAGUUUUUGUUUGUUUGUAACAAGGCAUCACUAUGUAGCCUAGGCUAGCCUUAAACUUUCAGUCUUCCUUUCUCUGCCUGCCCAGUUCUGGGAUUAUAAGUGUGUGCCACCGUGCCUGCCUGGGUGGCUUAUUAAAGUUCCAAAUGGAGUCAUUGCCUUCUGUCCAGACUUGAGUAAUCACAGGCAUGUGUAAGGGGUGGUGGGAUCUGUAGACCCAAAGUGGAAGAAAUUCUGCAGGACACUGCCUUGCUAGAUCUCAAGUGGCUGGACCAAGGAGAGGUUGAUGCAUCUCCACUACUAAGAAACAAGCAUUGCGAACCGUGAGAUGUCCUGUCCAAUAGUGUGGGGUGGGUCACGUUGCCUUUAGAUGUCAACACUGAAGAUACAGUUGCAUCCUUGUUCCUCUCAACCGGAGCAUAUUAGGAAGAGCACAGCGUGGAAACAGAAGACCCAGAUUUGAACCUCGGCUCUAUCACUCACCUGAUAUGGGUUUGGAGCAAGACAACUUUAAAGGGACUUGAGCUGCUUUAUGUUAGUCAGCUUUUUACGGCUAUAGCAAAACACCUGAAACAAUGAAAAGGUGAGAGGGUUGAACUUAACUGUGCUUUCAGAACUUCUCAUCCUCAGUCGCCUGACUCUAUUGUUCCUGGGCUGUGGUGAAGCAAGGCACCAUGGUGGAACCAAGCUACUCACUUUAUGGCCACCAGGAUCACAGGAGAGGCAGCUUGUAUGUGAAGAGAUCCAAAGACAAGAUAAACUGUUUCAGGAGCUACUCUCAAUGACCCACUUUGUUUAACCAAGUCUUCCCCUCCCCCACAGCUCAUUCAAUUGUGAACUCUUCAAUGAAUUAAAAUCCACUGAUGAGUUUAGUGCCAUAUGAUCCAGUCACCUCCCAAGGACUCUCUUCUGAACAUUGAGACAAUGGGAUCAAGCAUUUAAUACUGGAGUCUUAGAGACACUUCCUAUCCAAACCAUAAUGCCAUCCACGUCAAUGAAUGUGAAAGUACUCUGUAAGCUUAAAGCGCUAAACAAAUACACAUAUUGAGGAGGCUAGCUUUGCACGUCACCUGAUUGACCCAUGAGAUAUAAAGUAGUAAAGUCAUAGUAAUAGACAUAUCACCAUCGA
This is a non-coding RNA of Peromyscus maniculatus bairdii (prairie deer mouse), 1943 nucleotides long. The record is from RefSeq and is a predicted model, not a curated record. Lineage: Eukaryota; Metazoa; Chordata; Mammalia; Rodentia; Cricetidae.